UACGAAGGGGGCUAGCGUUGCUCGGAAUGACUGGGCGUAAAGGGCGCGUAGGCGGUUUGUACAGUCAGGUGUGAAAUUCCCGGGCUCAACCUGGGGGCUGCACUUGAUACGUAGGAACUGGAGUGGGGAAGAGGGUCGUGGAAUUCCCAGCGUAGAGGUGAAAUUCGUAGAUAUUGGGAAGAACACCGGUGGCGAAGGCGGCGACCUGGUCCUUGACUGACGCUGAGGCGCGAAAGCGUGGGGAGCAAACAGG
RNAcentral lists this ribosomal RNA (253 nucleotides) under uncultured bacterium. Its description in RNAcentral is "partial 16S ribosomal RNA". It matches the Rfam family "Bacterial small subunit ribosomal RNA", at positions 524 to 776 of the family's 1533-position model. The record is from RNAcentral.